This 68-nucleotide microRNA precursor is filed under the name Diaphorina citri (Asian citrus psyllid). RNAcentral's name for it is "mir-14 microRNA precursor family". It matches the Rfam family "mir-14 microRNA precursor family". The record is from Rfam by way of RNAcentral. Lineage: Eukaryota; Metazoa; Arthropoda; Insecta; Hemiptera; Psyllidae.
UAUCGGAGCGAGAAAUUCGACUCGACUUCUAUUUUUGAAUUACAGUCAGUCUUUUUCUCUCUCCUAUA